RNAcentral lists this long non-coding RNA (1240 nucleotides) under Suricata suricatta (meerkat). Its description in RNAcentral is "lncRNA (ENSSSUG00005013981.1)". The record is from RNAcentral. Lineage: Eukaryota; Metazoa; Chordata; Mammalia; Carnivora; Herpestidae.
GCAGAGGCUCAGGGUUUCUAGAAGCCAGAGUAACUAAUCACCAUCUUACAGCAUUUGGUGGUAGCUGAUUACACCGAGGGGCAGCGACUAGAUGACUUUCACCUGUUGGCUUUGCCAUUUCCAGAUGGGGUUGUCUUAGCAGAAUCUUAAGAAACAGGUUUAUUGAGUUACAUUCCUAGGGUUACCUGAAUGGAAGUGCGCAAGUGAAAACAAUGGCUGGUAAUUCAGGGUCGAAUACUCUGUGGGACAAGGACCAGCAUCUCUCCCACCGACCUGUAACACUGGCCGACCUCUGGCUCCCGACUGGUUCUCAGUUCUAGAUAGUUCGUCAGCCAGGGCCGGUCUUGGUGACACCUGAUCUGAGCUGCAAGAUGCUUGGCUGUUCACAUCACCGCUUUACACGAAUGAGUGCUGCGUCCUGCUCUACAUCCAGGUUCGCGUCCCCGCCCCCUUCCCAAGGACAGACACCAUCUAUGGCUUGGCAGGCCUCAAAGCCUAGCUCUGUUACAGUUUCGUUUUCCUGCAAAAAUGAAACCUAUCUCAUUGGCUGUGACUCAGUCAGAAGGGAGUGUGUUAUAAAUAUCCAGAGUCAGAUCUUCUGGAAACACAAACAAGAUUCCAAGCUCAGACUUCUGGGUCUGAGACACAUUUUGAGAAAAUCUGCUUCUGGAUUUGAAUCUGGUGGGUGCUUGUCACUCUCUGUGCCAUGGUAGUCAUCCCAAUAGCCAGCGUAGCCUCUUCCCUGGCUUCUAAGAUGAUGGCAUCCAAGAUGGUGGCAGUGAGCCUGGCCAAAGCCACCUCGGCGGCAUGCGGCAGUGCCCUUGCUGGACUUCCGUCCACAGGACUCGCCUUGUCAUCCAGCGCUGCCCUGAGCCAGGCCACAGCUUCCCUGGGAUCCCUGCUGGGGACACUGAGUGGCUCCGUAGUAUCCCCGGCUUCAGCCUUGAUUAUUUCCCCGCUCGGAGCCAAGGCCGGUGCAGCUGUGAUAGGAGGAGCCGUGGCCGUGGGGGCCGUGCCCGUCGUGCUGGGCGCCAUGGGCUUCACCGGGGCGGGAAUUGCCGCCUCUUCCCUAGCGGCGAAGAUGAUGUCCAUUGCCGCCAUCGCCAACGGGGGCGGAGUUGCUGCGGGGAGCCUGGUGGCUACGCUUCAGUCCGUGGGAGCGACUGGACUCUCACUGUCAUCCAAAAUCAUCGUGGGCUAUGCUGGGUCUGUCCUUGCAUCUGGCAUGGUCGGCCUGGGG